Molecule: non-coding RNA, 956 nt
Organism: Microcebus murinus (gray mouse lemur)
Lineage: Eukaryota; Metazoa; Chordata; Mammalia; Primates; Cheirogaleidae
Source: RefSeq, a predicted model, not a curated record
CCGAGCAGACUUUGAAAGGAGGUUGAAGUGGGGCUCUUUUGAAGAUGAGACCCAGAAAGUCCUUUAGGCUUUUCUUAGAACCUGUUUUUGGAGUCUGUCGCAGGGUGUGUGGAAACAGAGGCUAGUAGGAUGUUUAUAUCAUGGAGAGGAUACAGAGUGCCUUAAUGAGUAAGUGGUGGCAGGCUGGCGUUGGGGGAGUCGGGGUCAACUGCGUGAGUGUAAGGUUAGUUCACUUGUAAACGGGCCAACCAUUGUGGGCGGCCUGCCUGGCUGGAGAGGCUAGACCAAGACGCGCCUCCCAGUUACCAUGGUAACCCUCCCUCUUCCCAACCCCGCCCCCCUUUACUGGCCCAAGGUAAGGUCGGGAGUGGUUGCCUUGGGUGACUGGAAGGCUCCGCCCCUCGCUCCCAGCUGCCGCUCUCCCUCCACUGGACUGCCUUCCCGCCUGCCUGGCAGUGGGAGGGCGCGGCAGCUGAAUCGUCACAUCCGGGAGGGUGGGUGAGUUCCGGUAUUUCAGGGCGGAGCAGGCGGAAGCAGGGGUGAGGAGCGGCUGCAACGCCGAGCGGAGGAGGCAGGAACAGGAGCGCGAGCAGGAGCAGGGUAGGCACCAUGGCUGGGAUCACCACCAUCGAGGCGGUGAAGCGCAAGAUCCAGGUUCUGCAACAGCAGGCUGAUGAUGCAGAGGAGAGAGCCGAGCGCCUCCAGCGGGAAGUGGAGGGAGAAAAGCGGGCCCGGAACAGGCUGAGGUAGCCUCCUUGAACCGUAGGAUCCAGCUGGUUGAAGAGGAGCUGGAUCGUGCUCAGGAGCGCCUGGCCACUGCCCUGCAAAAGCUGGAGGAAGCGGAAAAAGCUGCUGAUGAGAGUGAGAGAGGUAUGAAGGUGAUUGAAAACCGGGCCUUAAAAGAUGAAGAAAAGAUGGAACUCCAGGAAAUCCAACUCAAAGAAGCUAAACAUAUU